Maylandia zebra (zebra mbuna) is the source of this 847-nucleotide non-coding RNA. The record is from RefSeq and is a predicted model, not a curated record. NCBI's taxonomy places the organism in Eukaryota, Metazoa, Chordata, Actinopteri, Cichliformes, Cichlidae.
CGUUCUUCCUGAAAACGCUGAGAAAGAACUCGAAGAAACUGAGACAGGAUUCAUAGACUCUGCAGAUGUAGAAGCACGCAAGCAGGCUCAACGAGACGCUGAAAGAGAGAAGGAGUUGAAAUUGCGGCACACUCCUGUUCAGAGGAGUCUCCCCAGACCUACUGAGGUAAACGAGUCUGUUCUCCGUCCCGCCUCCAUGGAGCCACUCUCUGACCUCCAGCAGGCCGAAGAGCUCAUCAAACAGGAAAUGAUCACCAUGCUGCAUUUUGACUGCUUGCAUCACCCUUCAGCCAAUGCUGCCAAUCAGCUGCAGCGCGGCAAAAUCCGAAGCCCCACGUCUACGUCUAACAACGCGUCACAUAUUGCUUACCUGGAAAAAAACCUCCUACAAGCCAAUUAGCACAGAGGAGAUGGAACAGGCAAAGUUAGUCCUGGCAGCAGAAAUGGAGGUGGUGAAGGGAGGUAUGGGUCACGGUGACCUCAGCAUGGAGGCUUACAGCCAGGUGUGGGAGGAAUGCUACGGACAGGUGAGCACCCAUGGACCAAAAAUGAGAAGUCAGAGAAGCAUAAACAGGUGUAGAGAUUUGUUACCACCUUUUGGUCAGUAUAUUUGUCAUAUUUCUAAAUUAGAAGCUUCUAGUGUGUAGAAAUACACAUGGAUGGAGUGUAGUGCAGUGCAGUCUAACCCAACUAGUUAUUACACACCCAGUCUGCCUUUGAUGGCACACAGCUGAGGUGUUGACUCUCGAUCAUUCUCCCCGAAGCUUAAGUGUUUUGAAGUGAGUUUCCUGAGGUGUGCAAGUUCACUGUGAUCUAAAACACUAGUCUGGGCCUUGUGUGAUUCUGU